Molecule: long non-coding RNA, 5058 nt
Filed under: Sus scrofa (pig)
Lineage: Eukaryota; Metazoa; Chordata; Mammalia; Artiodactyla; Suidae
Description: lncRNA (ENSSSCG00000061362.1)
Source: RNAcentral
UUUUUUUUUUUUUUUUUUUUUUUUGAGGCAGAGAUAGCAUGCAUGGGGGUUGGCACACCUAACCCCUGUUUUGUUCAAGAGGUGAAUAUAUAAUGUCCUAUAUAAUGUCCAUAUAAACCUAUUUAUAUGUGUGUUACUGAGCUGAUGCAUAUAUAUGCAUUAAAUGAGCAUAUAUAUUGGGGGUUUGUGUGUGUAUAUAUACACAUAGUUAUUUUUAAAAGAAACUAAAUUCAGUAAAUCCGAUUCAUUAGAUAAUUCUAAACUGGAUCAGACUUCAAAGAGCAACAUCUUCAUUUUAGACUCAUUCAUUUUCCCAAAAAAUAUUUACUGAGUGCCUACCAUGCGCUAGGCUCCCUUUUAGCACAAGGAAACAGUGGUGAACUAAAAAGCAACCACUGCCCUCAUGGAGUUUACAGUCUAGUUGGAGGGACAGACAUUCAGCAAAUAAUCGUGCAAAGUCAUUUACAUGAAAUUCUUUCCAUUUUUUUUUCAAUAAACAUACAUGGAGGUAAAGGCCAAGGUUGUAAGGCCAUAAAUCAAAAAGAUGCUGGUUGACCCUCAAAAGGCUCACCACUUAGGAGGGAACAGGGACCCACAGACAACAGUUUGCUCCUAAUAAUAGUAAGGACUGAAUGGAUGUUUCUGCAAAGUACCAUGGGAGCAGGUAGAAUGAGACUGCAUGUAGGGGACUAUUCACGGGAGACUUUAUGGGAGGAAGCAUGUGAACUGAGCCUUGAAAGCUGUGGAGACAACACCCCAACAUAAGGUGAGUGCAAAGCCAUACAACCUGAUAGUGACAGACGCAGAGGGAAAACACUAGGAUGCCAGAGCUUACAGCAGCUGCCCGGGGGGCCAGCAGCUAGAGCUGACUUCUCUUGGGUCCUUGAGGGGAGCUUUGGACCCUCAUAGACUGAAAAACCUUCAGAGGGUGCAAAUGUGGGCAGGUCCCCUCCCCGUGACAGCCAUCUGAGUCUAUGCACAUCUGGUAAGCUGUGUGCAGAGCUGAGCAGCUCUAAGGCUCACUGGUCUUAGCCAAAGAACAAUCUGGUUUCUGAGGUGUGUUUGCUAGCAACUCAGAUUACACCUUCCACUCGAAGAGGGAAGCUGGGACAGAUGCCAAACCCACAGUAAGCCACUCUGGCCCUUAAAAUGGCACUUAGAGGGGCUGUAGAGAAUAUAAAGUGGAUCAAUCACUCAAAAUAGAAGAGCAAUCAUAAUCGUAAAAUUCUCAUUCAGCUCCAUUCAGUCGCCAGCAACAAAGGGACUGAUUGAUCAUUGCCAGCUCGGCUACCAGCCAGCUAAAAAAAAUUAAGUGCGUUAAAGACAGAAAUAGCAUUGAUAUACAGGUAGGAUAUAUAGACACAUACAAAUUUAUCCAAAUAGUAAAUAUACAGCACCCAGAUUAAAAAACACAAAAAACAACAACAACAAAAAAACCCAGACUCUUACCAACCUCACAAAAGCCCUAUGUUUCUAGUCACUCCCCCAAGGUUAACCAUUACCUUUAUUCCAAUAUCAUAGAUUAGUUUUGCCUGUUUUGUAGUCUACAGAAAUGGAUCAUACAGUAUGGACUUUUGCGUGGUGUCGUCUUUAAUCAUCAUGCUUGUCCUGUCUGGUUGCAUGUUAUUCAGACUCAGUGCACAGUGUUGUGUGACUAUUACCAUUUAUUUACAUCUGUUGCUGUUGAUGGGCAUUUGGGUACUUUCCACUUUGUGGCUAUUACAAAUUGUGCUUCCAUAUACACUUAAGGACGUAUCUUUGGCAAUCACAGGUAUGCAUUUCUCUUGAGUCCGUGCCCAGGAGUAGAAUGGCUGUGUUGUGGCAUAUAGGUAGAUUCGGCUUUAAUAGAUCUUGUGAAAGAGUUUUCCAAAGUGGCUCUAUUUGCUUACACCCUCACUAACAGCGUGCUGAUUGUUCUAUGAGUUUACAGACUCUUGGAAUUUUGCGUCUUUUCCAUUUUAGUCAUUCUGGCUGGUGCGUAAGUGGUAUUGCACUGUACUCUUCAUUUUUGUAUUCUGGAUGACUAGUGAAAUGUAUCACUUUUUCAUAUGUUUAUUGGUCAGUGAGAUACCCUCUUUGGUGACUUAUCUGUUCAAGUGUUUUGCUCAUUUUUCUAUGAGGUUGUCUUUCUUGUCCCUAUUGAUCUGUAGGAGUUUUUAGGAAAUUGUUGAUGUGAGACUUUUGUGGAUCUAUACAAUGUUUUGAGGGUUGCCUUUUCACUCUGUGUCUUUUGAUGGAUGGAAGAUCUCAAUUUUAAAUUACUCCCAUUUAUCAAUAAUUUUUCCCUUAUGACUAGCCAUAUUUGUGUCCUAUUUUAAAAAAUCUUUGCCUACUCCGAGAUCACAGAUAUUUUUUCCUGUUUUCCUCUAGAAAAUUGUGUUACUUCUGAUACAUAGAUCUACAAUCCAUAUGAAAUAAAAUUUUCGUAUAGUGUGUGGUAAAAAUCAAAAUACAUUUUUUUCUACAUGGAUAUUCGAUUUACAUCUAACCAAUUUUAAUACUGAGAUAAAAUCUGCAGGUUCUUAAAGAAGCCACCAUGGAAUAGAGAGAGAAAAUUUGAUUAAGAUGUACUGUGAAGGCAGGGGAGGAGUCUUCAUAUUUAUAUGAUCAUACUUAAUGCUUUGUGUAAAGGUCCUUUAAGAUGAGGCUAAGUUUGCCUUUUCAAUUACUAUGCCAUUAAGUAGGUGCCAUUGAGAUAGACUCAAGGUGGCAUGGACGUACGUAGUCAAGGUCACCCAGUAAGAUCCUUGCCAGGGAAAAUGGCAACACUUUUGAAAGGAAAACAUCAUAAUUCAGAUGCCUUAAAAUAAAGCUUUGCCUCAGUGUUCGCUGGUAGCUCAGUGGGUUAAGGAUCUGGCAUUCUCACUGCUGUGGCAUGUCCCACUCCAGGCCAGGGAACUUUUGCAGGCGGCAGUUGUGGGCCAAAAGAAAGAUCAUUGCCGACACACAAUAAAAAUGUAUUAGAUGUGUGAGGAAGCAGGAAAAUAUGGCCUAUAAUCAAGAAGAAACCUAUCAUCAGGCACUAAGAUAACCAAGCUGUUGGAACAAGGAAGGGCUUUAAAGCAGCCAUUGUAAAUAUAUUCAAAGACGGAAAAUAAAAAUAUGGUCCUACUAAGUAAACAGAGAAAUCCUAAGGGGAAAUAGAAGCUAUAAAAAGAACUAAAUGGAGAUUCCACGCUUGAAAAGUACACUCUGAAAUGGAAAAUUCACUGGAUGAGCUGGACAAUGAAAAAGCAGAAAAAUGGUUACUGACCUUUAAACUAAUAGGAAUAUCUAAUAAGAUAGUUAAUAGAUAAUUAAUAACAGGAUGAUAGCAAUUAUCUAAUAAGUAUACAUAUUUUUAAAAAUGGAAAAAGUAAUAGAACCACAGUGACCAAAGGGACACAUUGUCAUUACAGUAUCAGAAAGAGAGGAGUGAUUGAGAAUGGCACACAAAAGAUUGGUUUUUUUAAAUAAUGAUGUAAAAUCUUCCCAAAUUUAAUGGGAAAAAAGUUUAAGAAGGUCAACCAACCCUACGCGAGACAAAUAAAAUGAAACCAUAAUUUAGCCAUAUCAGCCUUGAACUCCUGAAAAUGAGAAAUAAAAAGUAAAAAUCCUGAACCAGCUAGAGAAAAAUGAUAUAUUACAUAGAGAAAAAAUAUCAUAUGAUAUUCUUCUUAUAAAAGAACUUCUUAUAAAAAAAUAAAGGUAGCCAAAUGACAAUAGGAUAAUAUAUUUUCAGUGCUGAAAGAGAAUGCUGUCAAACCAGAAUUUUAUAUGCAGAAAAAUAUAUCUUUAACAAAUUAGGGUGAAAUCAAGACACUGUCUUGAGAACUAUGUCUAGAUACUCAUGUUGCAACAGAAGAAAGGGAGGGGGGGAAACUGUAAUUGCAAUGUAUACAUGUAAGGAUAAUCUGACCCCCUUGCUGUACAGUGGGAAAAAAAAAAAAAAAAGACACUGUCAGAUAAAAGUUGAGACAGUCUGUUAGCCACAGAAUUGCAUGGACUAGUGGCAGUUCUUCAGGCUGCGUGUACAUGAUCCAUACAGACACUUAGAUCUAAGGAAGAAAUGAGCCGCCCCAGAAAAGGUGAGUAUGAAAGUAAAUACAAAAAAAAGAUGCGAUUUCUUGGGAAAUUAAAAGAGGGUGAGGAGAAGGAACAGAAAAGCAUAAUGAAGUGAAAACUAUAUGCAAUCAAAGAAGCUUAGAAUCAAACCCCAGCUCUACCACUUGUAAACCAUAUAUGAUCAUGGGUAAGUUGCUUGACUACUGUGAGCCAUUUCCUUCACUGUUACUGGGUUAAUAACCCUUACCUCUGUAUGGUUUCUAAGAAAUUGGGAGCAGGGAGGAAGUGGGAUGGACUGGGAGUUUGGAAUUAGUAGAUGCAAACUAGUACAUUUAGAAUGGAUAGACGAGGAGGUCCUACUGUAUAGCGCAAGGAACUCUAUCCAGUCUCUUGGGAUAGACCAUGAUAGAAUAUAAGAAAAGGAAUGUGUGUGUCUAUAUGUAUAUAUGUGUGACUGGGUCACUUUGGUGUACAGCAGAAAUGGGCACAACAUUUUUAAAAAGGGGGCGGAUUGAAGAAAUAUCCACAAAGUUCCUUGUACAGUGUCCAGGGCUCAGUGGGCACUCAGUGUCACAACGCUGAAUGUUAGGCAUUACGUAAAAGAGUCAAAAAUUGAAGUUCAUUGCAUUGAUCAGGUUACCUAAUCUGUGACAGUUUACUAUAUAUUUUAAACACUGAGACAACCAUGGUCCUAUCUUAUGCGACUGUUGCAAGAAUUAAGUGAAGUAACACAUUUAAGACAUUAUACGAUUGACAUAUAAAAAUGAUCAAAAUAGUUGUUUAGGAGUUCCCGUCAUGGCUCAGUGGUUAACGAAUCCGACUAGGAACCAUGAGGUUUCUGGUUCGGUCCCUGCCCUUGCUCAGUGGGUUAAGGAUCCGGCGUUGCCGGGAGCUGUGGUGUAGGUUGCAGAUGCGGCUCGGAUCCUCCGUUGCUGUGGCUCUGGUGUAGGCCGGUGGCUAACAGCUCCGAUUGGACCCCUAGCCUGAGAACCUGCAGGAGCGACCCAAGAAAUG